UGAAACUCCAAUAUUUUGGCCACCAGAUGAGAAGAACUGACUCACUGGAAAAGACCCUGAUACUGGGAAAGACUGAAAGCAGUAGGAGAAAAGGGACGUCAGAGGAUGAGAUGGUUGGAUGGCAUCACCGACUCGAUGGACACGAGUUUGAGCAAACUCCCGGAGUUGGUGAAGGACCGGGAAGUCGGGCGUGCUGCAGUCCAUGGGGCCGCAAAGAGUCGGACACGACUGAGCGACUGAACUGAACUGAUAAGUGUUCGGUAGGUGGAGCCAUAAAUUUAAUAAUAAUAAAAAAAAGUUUUUAAGAAGAAAAAUAACUAAGAACUCUCAGGUCAGCUGAAGACCAGGUCGUGAGUAUUCAGGCGGCCGGCGGUCCGCUGACCCCCGGAGGCGUAGAGGGAACUCGCAACUCCAUUUCCUGACUGCGAGGUGACACCUGGAGAACGCGUUCGGAGCCACGCGAGGCCCAGAAAGCUCACAAGUCGGCGCAACCCAGCUGCGCUGCCAGCAGAAUACCGACGCGGGGAGAGCGUCGCCCAGGCAACGACUCUACCCCGCCCCGCCCCGCGGAAGACACUGUCAUUGGCUAUCUUCCGCAUGGUCCUGCCCUUAGAGCACAACAGUCUCCCUUACCUGAGCGCUCUCGUCCGCGCCCCCGAGGGCAGCCGCGCCGGGGCUGGAGGGUUAUCCUGUUGCUACCUGACCUUGGCUGGUGUGCCCGCGUUUCCUGUCCGGCUGCCCACUUCAACUUCCGGUUUUUCUGGGUCUUUCAUGGAGCCCCACUGUGGACCGGGGGCACGUGGGCAACUGGGACGAUUUCCAGGGAAGGUGAGCACCUGAGUCGGACGCCUGGAAGUCACUGUUAGCAGCGAUCACUGAGCCUGGCCGCUGCGCUCCCGGCCAGUUCCCCGAGGUUCUCACCCAGGCUCGAGGCACCGAGACCACCACGUCGGAUCGUUACCCGAGGAGACCACGUCCUUCCUGCAGCUCUGCGCCAUCGCGUCCGGACGGGGCCCGCUGCUUCCGGUCGCAGGGCCCGGACCUGGCCUACUCAGCGAGGGCCGCAGCGCUCGGCGCGCGGGUCGGUCCUGGAGGCGGGGCCGGGGCGGCGGGGCCCGACUUGGGGCGUGGUGGCCCCGCAGAGGUGGAGGGGUUCAGGACACACCUCCGCCCACCGCCCCGGCCACGCCCAGGGGCGGGGCCUCCUUUCCACGUCCGGGGUGGGUUUUCAUAGUCCCGCCCAGGGUGAGGUUCCCGGCCCCGCCCACCCGCGA
This 1274-nucleotide long non-coding RNA is filed under the name Moschus moschiferus (Siberian musk deer). RNAcentral describes it as "lncRNA (ENSMMSG00000009560.1)". Lineage: Eukaryota; Metazoa; Chordata; Mammalia; Artiodactyla; Moschidae. The record is from RNAcentral.